This 73-nucleotide transfer RNA is filed under the name Canis lupus familiaris (dog). It matches the Rfam family "tRNA". Rfam says of the family: Transfer RNA (tRNA) molecules are approximately 80 nucleotides in length. Their secondary structure includes four short double-helical elements and three loops (D, anti-codon, and T loops). RNAcentral also lists the same sequence under 1 other name. Lineage: Eukaryota; Metazoa; Chordata; Mammalia; Carnivora; Canidae. The record is from Rfam by way of RNAcentral.
GCCUGGCUGGCUCAGUCGGUAGAACAGGAGACUCUUAAUCUCAGGGUCGUGAGUUCAAGCCCCGUGUUGGGCA